Molecule: ribosomal RNA, 253 nt
Filed under: uncultured bacterium
Lineage: Bacteria
Description: partial 16S ribosomal RNA
Rfam family: Bacterial small subunit ribosomal RNA
Source: RNAcentral
UACGUAGGGUGCAAGCGUUGUCCGGAAUCAUUGGGCGUAAAGAGCUCGUAGGCGGUCUGUCGCGUCGGCUGUGAAAACCCGGAGCUCAACUCCGGGCCUGCAGUCGAUACGGGCAGACUGGAGUUCGGCAGGGGAGACUGGAAUUCCUGGUGUAGCGGUGAAAUGCGCAGAUAUCAGGAGGAACACCGGUGGCGAAGGCGGGUCUCUGGGCCGAUACUGACGCUGAGGAGCGAAAGCGUGGGGAGCAAACAGG